CCGGAUCGGAGUCUGCAACUCGACUCCGUGAAGUCGGAAUCGCUAGUAAUCGUAGAUCAGAAUGCUACGGUGAAUACGUUCCCGGGCCUUGUACACACCGCCCGUCACACCAUGGGAGUGGGCUGCAAAAGAAGUGGGUAGUUUAACCUUCGGGAGGACGCUCACCACUUUGUGGUUCAUGACUGGGGUGAAGUCGUAACAAGGUAGCCCUAGGGGAACCUGGGGCUGGAUCACCUCCUUAAACGAUAGAU
This 251-nucleotide ribosomal RNA is filed under the name Aliivibrio finisterrensis. RNAcentral's name for it is "partial 16S ribosomal RNA". It matches the Rfam family "Bacterial small subunit ribosomal RNA", at positions 1293 to 1533 of the family's 1533-position model. The record is from RNAcentral. Lineage: Bacteria; Pseudomonadati; Pseudomonadota; Gammaproteobacteria; Vibrionales; Vibrionaceae.